CGUACCUUUUGCAUCAUGAUUUAGCCAGAAUCCUUUAAGCAAAGAGAACUUUAGUUUAAAACCCCGAAACUGAGUGAGCUACUCCAAGACAGCCUAAAAAUAGGGCGAACCCGUCUCUGUGGCAAAAGAGUGGGACGAGCUUCGAGUAGAGGUGACAGACCUAUCGAACUCAGUUAUAGCUGGUUGCCUGUGAAUUGGAUAGAAGUUCAGCCUCUCGGCUUCUCCCUUCACCCCAACAUGGUUUUUAACCAUACCCAAUGAUACAAGAGAAACCGCGGGAGUUAGUCAAAGGAGGAACAGCUCCUUUGAACAAAGACACAACUUUACCAGGAGGGUAAAGAUCAUAAUCUUCAAGGCAAAAUGUUUUAGUGGGCCUAAAAGCAGCCAUCCUAAUAGAAAGCGUUAAAGCUCAAACAUAUCUCACCCCCUCAUAUCCUGAUAACUCAAUCUAAACCCCCUAAUUCUACCAGGCCGCCCCAUGCAUUACAUGGGGGCGACUAUGCUAAUAUGAGUAAUAAGAGGGCCUAAAAAGCUCUCUCCCUGCACACG
RNAcentral lists this ribosomal RNA (549 nucleotides) under Thamnaconus modestoides (modest filefish). RNAcentral describes it as "partial 16S ribosomal RNA". It matches the Rfam family "Bacterial large subunit ribosomal RNA", at positions 600 to 1346 of the family's 2925-position model. The record is from RNAcentral. Lineage: Eukaryota; Metazoa; Chordata; Actinopteri; Tetraodontiformes; Monacanthidae.